This is a long non-coding RNA of Ficedula albicollis (Collared flycatcher), 519 nucleotides long. RefSeq lists it as uncharacterized. The transcript has 4 exons. The record is from RefSeq and is a predicted model, not a curated record. Lineage: Eukaryota; Metazoa; Chordata; Aves; Passeriformes; Muscicapidae.
UCUGCUGCCUUUCUGCUCAGCCGGCAGCCACCCCGGCCAGCCGCGCCCGCUGGGGACAAGGCAGCGCCCUGCUCCCCACAGAGAGCUCUUCCCCGGACAGCGCUGUAACCUUGGGGGUCACCCGCGGGCAGCGCAAACGAUCUUCACCAAGAACUAGUCCUGUGUUAUUUGUGUUAAUAAGAUGACCUGGGGAAUACAAAAAAUAGAUGAAAGAACAGGUAUGACAAGAUGUCUUGCCAGCUGCCAGCCAGGAAGCACACACUGUGCGCACUGCUGAGCCAGCCAGCAGCCCAGACAAAUUGCUUUCCAAGCUGUGAAACGCCAGGCUGAAACAGAGGAAAAUAGGCAGAAGAUUUACAAAGCAGGAAAAAAAACAGAGUCAUACGAGUCCUUCAUCCUGGGUCACAUGCCUGCUUCGACAAGGCACCAUUUAACCUCAGACUGAACCUGAUUUCCAAGGGCCACGGAAACAGUUACAUAACAAUGAACAGUUGAAACACAAAUAGACAAAGAUUUUAC